AACCAUAGAAACCUGCGGAGUACCUGCGGAGGGAUCAUUACAGAGUUCGUGCCCUCGCGGGUAGAUCUCCCACCCUUGUGUAUUUUCUACAUCUUGUUGCUUUGGCAGGCCGUUGGUUCGCCAACCACCGGCUCGCGGGCUGGUGCGUGCCUGCCAGAGGACCUCUCAAACUCGGUUUGUUAGUGUCGUCUGAGUACCAUAACAAUCGUUAAAACUUUCAACAAUGGAUCUCAGAUCGGA
This 240-nucleotide unclassified non-coding RNA is filed under the name soil metagenome. Its description in RNAcentral is "partial contains 5.8S ribosomal RNA, internal transcribed spacer 2, and large subunit ribosomal RNA". The record is from RNAcentral.